This 792-nucleotide long non-coding RNA is filed under the name Homo sapiens (human). RNAcentral describes it as "non-protein coding lnc-RPS24-3:27". The record is from RNAcentral. Lineage: Eukaryota; Metazoa; Chordata; Mammalia; Primates; Hominidae.
CACCCCACACCCCUAGCCCAGGGUCUCUUCAUCGAUAGGGGGUGAUCUGUCUGCCCCUCACUGUUUUCUCCAAAUAGAGAUAAGAUCUCACUAUAUUGCCCUGGCUGGUCUCAAACUCCCGUGUUCAAGUCAUCUGCCUGCCUCGACCUCCUAAAGGGCAAGCGGGAUUACAGCCUUCUCCACAGCCCAGCCACAGUGAGGGAGUCAUCAGCACUGGAACCCGGGGUCCACGGCCUUGGAGGAUCCGGACCCUCCGCAUUUGAGGAACUUGGCCUUCAGUCAGGGAGCCAAGAAGUCCCUGCCAAUCAAGGAGGGGGUGUGGGCUGGUGGGGGGGGGGCAGCCUUGGGGCACGGGAGCUGAUAGACCAGACUCAAGAGUUCUACUCCUGACUUCUAGAUUGUUCCACCUCCAUAUGGAAUAUGUUCCUUCCAUCUAACACUGUGUGAUUUGGGGACCAUCCAACUCAAAUGAAAGAAGCCAAGCCAUGCAGCGAGCCACCCCCUCCCCAAUGUGGGGUACCCCCUGCCCCCGCCCAGCUCCCCUGCCCUCCCAGCUGAGGGGGGAUCGCCGCCUGGUGAUCUCAGCCUCCCCUCCAAGUGGGCUGUGAAGUGUCUAAUCCAGGCUUUCAUCUGGCAUCCACAAUUAUAAUGUCAAGAUUGAAUAAUCUGCCUUUAUCUCCCGGGUGACAGCCAUGUAGAAACUUCAAAAGAAACAGUUUUGCUGGCAUCUAACGGCUUUUGUUAAUUACUAUAUCCCAAAGAAAAUGAAAUAAAGGAGGGAGAAAAAUGAUA